UACAAGCUUAGCCUAUGAGAUUUUAUAGAUCAAUCUCAAGGCCACACGUUUCAGAUCUCAUUCCAACUAAUUAGCCAUGUGCUAAAUGUGUGUGGCUUCUAGAAAGCUUUAUUAAACACAUGUAAAAUAUGUUAGGUGCCUAUGGAAAAGUAAACACUAAUGCCACCCCCUUUUAUGAUAGGCACACCCCUCUUUAUGUAGAAUUGUCCAUUUUACCCUUCACCAUGCUCUUGGGUUGUUCUUUAUUUGGUGGGCUUGGGCCCCGCGUAUCACAAGAGCUUAAAUUUCACAAUGUUGUUAAAGUGCCAGGAGGCUGAGAGAGGGACUGAGUGCCACCAGGAUAGCUUUGGGCGAUGUAAUUCCAAAGAUUUGGGCGCCUAGUGCCACAUUCUGUCACUAACUGGUGGUGUCACUGAUAGGUCAAAAUGGGUUAUUUAGAUAUGUUUCUUGCAAGGUUUUGGGCAUUCCUCUACUCUUACACUUCAUUCUUCAUCGAAAGCGACUUGAAGAAGCCCUUGGAGGUUGUGUGAAGUGCUUGAAAGCUCUUUCAUUCCUCCUUGGGUCUUUAAGUUUUAUCAAGAUGGGUCAUGAAUUGGAGAUGGAAAUGCGAAGGGGAAGCACAUUUGGAGCAUAGAGCAACUGCAAAGAACCUUGGGAAAGGCUAUGCAUCUCUCUAUGGUUUCAAUUUCUCCCUUAUCUCUCUAAUUUUGUAGAACCCUAAGUUCUCCAUCAUGGAAGGCUUUUCCUAUUUGUUGAGAUUAAUUGUAAAACAUGAAAUUCUUAUGUAUUUUGUGAUAUUAAUAAUAUAUGUUUUUCCAAUUCAUGUUAGUAUUUAAUUUCUAUGCUUAAUGUUUGUGUUGGUUUGGCCACCAAUGCAUGAUUUGUGGUUCUUGAUGUAUUAAGAAACAUGAUUUGAACCUAUAACUGAAAUUGAACACCUAAUGGAUGAAAUUGAGAUGUUUGUAAAUGCAUGAGAAUGAAGUGGAUGAAUUCUAAUCUUGACAAUUGUAAAUACUCUAUGUUAAAUUUCUUUGCACACCAAUUGUUUGAUAAAAAUACCAAAAAGAGUUUGUUGUGUUUUUGUGCACUUUGAUGUUAUAUUGAGUUAUGAAAGGAAAAGUUGUCAUGUGUUGCACAAGUCUCUCAAGGGAGAAUGAUAUUUAUCACUUGCUACGCUACAACCAGUACACUCGUCAUUGGUUUUGCAACCAACAAGUUUUGACACCGUUGUCAGGCACUUGUGUUCUAACACAAGGCAAUUUGGCCAUUUAUGACUCUUUUAUACUUUGUCAUGUAUCUUUUUAGUGUUGUUUUGUAUGCAUUUGGCUUUAGUUUUUAACUUUUUCCAUGAUUUAGUUUGAACUUAAUGUCUGUCUCGGGGUACACCUUAGAGUUUGAUACAAUUAUUGAAAGUUCUUAGGGAUGAGAUUUCAGUAGCAGAACUAACUAAAUCAAACUAGAUAUGCAAAUCACUAGGGAUGGGAUUGUGUGUUUGGAUUCACUGCUUUUGAACUUAAGGCAAGUUUGAUGCACUUCUUACAACAAGGGAUUGGGUAAGUGUUCAUCAUACUUAGACAGACACAACAAGAGGGAUCUGAGUGUUCUAACUUAAGAAAACAGGGAAAGUAGAAUUCUUUGUCAAUUGUGUGUUUGUUUUGUUUGUGUUUCUUUUAUGCAGCUUGGCUACAUAUGUUUAUAUUUCUCACUGGUUUGGUUUAUGCUUAAUGCUUGUUUCGGCGAACGCCUUAGAGCAUGAUCUAGUUGUUGGAAUGUCCUAGGGAUGGGAUUUUAGCAGCCGAGCUAGCUAAAUGAACCCAGAUAUUACAAGUCACCAAGGAUGAGAUUGUGUGUUUGGACCCCACUGUUCCGAUUCUUAAUGCAAGUUUUGAUACAUUCUUAGGCCAAGGGAUUGGGUGACGUGUGUCCGGCUUAGAUAGGCGCAACAAGAGGGAUUUAAGUAUUUUACCUUAGAGAACAUGGAAAUUAGUAUUCAUCACCUUAUGAGAGUACUAGGUGAUCUUGCAAUAAGAGGGAUCCGAAUGAGGUUAUUUGGGAAAUAUGUUCUAAUCAUUCUGCAUAUUGGAAUUGUUGUUUGGUUGGUGUGCUCACAUUUUGCAUUUUUUUUUUCUUCCUUUCCUUUUCUUUGUUUGUAUUUUUCAUUUUUCUAUUUACUUUUCUAUAUGUUAUUUUUAUUUUUAUCUUUUUGUUUUUUAAUCUUAAUUUUAACAUCUUUGUUCCUAUAAUAAAAUGGGCUAAAGAGUUUGUUUGAAUUUUUUGGUGUUCUUGUGAGUGAUAGGCAUGAGUGCUGAUGAAAAAGAAUACACAAGGAGUUGAGGAAUUUGAGUAGCAAGUUGGUUCGCCCAAAAAGAGUGUGCUUUUUCUUUUCCUUUCUAUUUUUUUUCUUAUUUUGUUGAUAAUAAGUGUGAUUUGGCUGAUUUGACAAAUAUAAUGCAUUUGGUUAUGUGACUUUGAGUGAGUUCUGCAUGACUUUGAGGAGAAUCAUUUGUGUUUGAUCAUAAAUUGAUUUUGGAAUACAUUAAGAAUAUGUUGUGGUUUAGUGAAAACUUAUACUUGUGGUUGUUCUCAUGUGGGUAUAUCGAGAAUGUUAUUAUUGUUUUUACUAUGGUUAAUGAUUAUGGCAUGAUGUAUGACAACCUUAGGAAACCAAAGAAAUUAAAUGGGUGAAAAUUUGUGCCUCAUAGUUUUUAUCUAUUGACUGCUAGCACUUUUGGUUUACAAUUAACUUUGCUUGAGUUUCAUGGCUAUUUGUUAUUUAUUUGCAUGCUUACAUUGAAACAAGGUCGUUUUUCUUUCCGUGUUUGUAUCAUAUACCCAAAAUAACCAGUUGUGUUUUCAAAGAUUAGAACCUUUGUGCAAUCCUUUGAGAAUUUAAAGAAACUUACCUUCACUCUUGAAACCUUAAGCCUUGUUGAAUAUGAUUGACUAUCUCACCUUGAUGGGAGAGUAAAGUUUUCAUGGUCAGUAGUGUAAUUCAAGUGUGGGGGAAAUUAUUAUUAGAAGCGGAGCAUGGGUAACAAUUGUGAAAUGGUGUUGGUUGAUGUGAUUUAUUCUUAUAUAUAUUGUCAUUUAUAAAAGAAAAAGAAAAGUAGAAAAAAAAAGAAAAAAAAUAUAUAUGAACAAGGUGACUGCAAGUUGGUGUUUGGUGGUUGUUGAGAUUGUUGAUAGGGUGAGCACAGGUUUAGCUGAACCCACAAUCUCAGUGAUAAUUAUGUUUUUUUAUGAUGACAACACAUAAUUAAUAACACAAGUGUAUUAUGUGUUUACAUGUUAUAUGCUUUUGCUUAUUGUGUUAUAUCUGUAUAAGCAUAUCUGGGAACAUGAUUGUGUUGUUCAUUGCAUACAGUGUUUAAUAUGUGAUUUUAUCUGUGGAUGCAUAACAUAAGUUUUCGGAAUUGAAAAACCACAAGCACUUUGGUUGAACUUAAAAGUGUGGCAAAACAAUAGUUUCAAGUCAAUUACAUCAUGGGAUGAAUCGAUUAAAACUCGUGGGUUUGCACAAAUUCUUUUCAAGUAUGCAUUGAGAUAUUUUGAAGAGAAAAGUUUUCAAAAAUGUUCUAAGUGUUUUUACUUAAUCGACUGUAUGCUUCUUGUAUUCGAUUAAGUUUGUUAAGACUUUGAAAACUGUUAAAUGUUUGUCACAACUAACAUAAUGAUCAUUCUUUUAAAUAUGUUGACCAAGCAUUUAUUGUAAGUUGAUUGUAUUAAAUGUGCAUUUAAUUAAUUGUUGUGAUUGUUGUUAGAUUGUUAUAACUGCAAGAUGUAUUAGACUUGAUUAUUAGCUAAAUCGACUAAAAUGCGUCUGAUGUGUGUAAUAUUAUAAAUUGUCGCUGAUUUGAAUUGUGUAAGAACUUUUGUGAAUUAACACUUUCAUAUCUUUCAAAAAACGUUGUGUGAUAUUACAGAGGAAAGAAAAGCUCCAAGAACCAAAGAUUGACCGUGGUGAUCAAAGACUUGAAGGUUUCUUGCGAAGCAAGGUUUACUGGGUUUGAGCGUCUGAUCUAUCUGCACAGAAAGGUGUAAAUUGCGUGAUCAAGAUUUGUCGCAAUCUCUAAAAAUUGGCUUGGAUUCCCCGCGGUGUUUGUAGGAAGAAGAAUUGUGUUCUUGACUUUGAGGGUGCCUCAAAGGGUGUGACAGUAGAAGAGGGUGUUCUUGUUGCAUGACAUUAUUGUUUACUACCUAUAUUAGAUUAAAGGAUUAAAGAGGUGUUUUACAUUUUGACGUGAGGUCACUGUAAAAACUUGGUGUAAAAACCUUGAUCUUUAUAGUGCAUUUGCUUCCCGUGGUUGGAAGGACAUUGGAUGUAGGCAGGUUGGCUGAACCAGUAUAAAAAUCAGCGUUUGAUUUCUCUGAUCCCUACACUUUUCAAUUCAUUCGAUUAACCUAUUUGUGUAUUUGAUUAAGCGCACUGCUGCAUUACAUAUUAUUUUACUUACGAUUCAAGAAAAACAUAAAGACAUCCUAUUUUGCGAAAAAGAUUUUGAAAGCUCUUGUUUUUACACAUCACCAAUUCACCCCCUCCCUCUUAGUGUGAGAAACUAAGUCGUUCUUUUGUAACAGUGGUUCUAGUUUUCAAAUAAAAGAGAGUAGAAUGAUAAGACUAUGAAAUUGAUGUGAUUGCUUUCUUUACUCGUUCAUACUACCUAGAUACAUCAAUUUCCUUCCUUGCCUUGUCCUAACAUCAAAUAAAGUCUUUGUUGUGUUUGCAUGCUUUGAUAAUUCUUGGUUCUUGAAAUGAAAAUCAAAGUCAAAUUGUGUUAUAUUAAAGGUAGAUGAGAGAAUGACACAUCCUUAUAUAAUAAUGUGCUUGAGUGAAACACAUUUUCUAGUGAGGAUUGGUUCCUUUGGUUAAUCAAUGAAAAUAUCUUUGCCAUGACUAUUAAUCUCUCAUAAAGUAUGUGCAUUUAUUCUUGUAAUAUUUGCAUUGUGAGCACGAUAGCUAAGGAUUUACAAUGUUACACAUAUUCUCUUUGGAUUGGUGUUGAAAUAAGAACAUUCAUGAAUGUUACCCGAUUUGAUUGUGUGAACUUGCUUCCUUUUUAUUUGACCUUUGUUGUAUGGAUGUUUUUCUUGGCCAAGUUAUCUUUUACUUGAGGACAAGCAAGGUUUUUAGUGUGGGGGAGUGAUAACAGUUGAUUUUACAUGUUUUUGUGUGUAUAUUUUGGUGAAUAAAUAAACUUUUUCAUAGUUUUUGCCUUGUUUUAUUUCCAAGUUUAGUGUGUUUUCAUGCUUUCUUGUGUUUUGGUUAGUAUAUACUAGUUUUUACCUCUAACCUCUUUGUUUGAGUGUGUGAAAUAAAUGAAUAUAAAGCAAUUCUAGUGGAGGAAAAUAAGUAAGAACUCAAGGGAACAUGUUUUGGGACAAAAAAAGAUCAAUUUGAAGUAGAUGUUCAUGUUGCGCGCCUUUAAAUCAUAAAAGUGCUUGAAUUUUACAAUGCUUUCAAAGUGUCAAGGGGUUGAGAGGGAGCUAAGAGAGGGCCUGAGCACCACCAGGAUAGCGUUGAGCGAUGGAAACUGACAUUAAGCGAUGUAAAUCCAGAAAGUAGGGCGUUGAGUGCCACAUUCUGGCGCGGAGCAAUAACGUUGUUGACAGGUCAAAAUAGGUUAUUUAAAAAUGUUUCUCGGGAAGUUUUGGGAAUUCUUCUCCUCCUACACUUCAUUCUUUACCUAGAGCAACUUGGAGAGGCCCUUGGAGGUUGUUUUGGGUUCUGGGAAACUCUCUCACUCCUCCUUGGGUCUUCAAGCUUCAUCAAUGGUGAUUUUGCCCCUUUUGGGUUAAGGAAGAAGAUGGCUCACUGAGAUGGAAAUGCAAACGGGAAACGCAAUUGGAGCAUGGAACAACUGCAAAGAACCUUGGGAAAGGUUGUGUAUCUCUAUAUGGUUUAAAUUUCUUCCUUAUCUCUCUAAUUUUGUAGAACCCUAAGUUCUCCAUCAUGGAGGGUUUUCCCUAUUUGUUGAGAUUAAUUGUAAAACAAGGAAGUCUUAUGUAUUUUGUGAUGUUAAUGAUAUAUGUUUUUCGAAAUCAUGUUAGUAUUCAAUUUCUAUGCUUAAUGCUUACUUUGGUUUGGCCAACCAUCCAUGAUUUGUGGUUCUUAAUGUAUUGUGAAACAUGAUUGGAACCUAGAACUGUAAUUGAACACCUAAUGGAUGAAAUUGAGAUGUUUGUGAAUGCAUGAGAAUGAAGUGAAUGAGUUCUAAUCUUGACAAUUGUAAAUACUCUAUGCUAAAUUUCUUUGAACACCAAUAGUUUGAUAAAAAUACCAAAAAGAGUUUCUUGUUUUUUUUGUGCACUUUGAUGUCUAAUUGAGUAAUGAAAGGAAAAGUUGUCAUGUGUUGCACAAGUCCCUUGGGAGAGAACAAUAUUUAUCACUUGUUACACUGUGACCGAUACAUUUGUCGGUUGUUUUGCAGCCAACAGUCGCUCAACGAGAAAGACUUAAAAUGAUUUCCAACCUACAGUGGAAAGUGAUGCUUAGUGAUGCCCUACCACCACUCAGUGUUAUACCAUUUGCAAGCCGCUUAGCAGGAAAAAGUUGUGAUUAGCGGCUUGAAGCUAAAAUGCUUCUAAACUUAAAACACCAAGCCAGUACUCAAUGCUAUACCAAUCAUGCUCAGUGCCAUAUUAGAAAGUCUUCACUUCAAAUCUAUGAUUUGUGACCAAAGGGAUGUUUAGAUGAUCAAAUUGGUAUUUUUGACCUAGUGAUUGAUUCAAAAGUGGUUCUUAAUGUUUGAAUGAACACCAAUUUCAUCAAAUGGCCACUUCUUUAGUUUUCUUAAUCACCAAACUCCAGGCACACAUAACACUCAAAUCAAUCAAUCGAUACAUCAUACAAUUCAACACGAAAACAAUAGUCAAGUUCAAUAUACCAGAUUCAAUUGAAAAUCUCUAACUUACACACACUAGAGUAUCUAGUUUUACCUUAUAAAUGAUCAAUAAUUGCAAACUGACCAUAAAAUAGCUUCAAAAGCACAAAACACUUUAUUUGCUCCUACGAACCAUCAAAACAUGACUAGGGUAUGCCUUAAAACUACUGAAAUAGAGAGUCUUAUAAAAGGCAUAGAAGGCACAUGCAAUUUCAAAUAACUCACAUGCAUGGAAAAAACACAAACUGAGAAAAAGAGUAAAAGUUAACUCACUCUUUUGUUGAAACUGAUCGGUUGAAGUAGAAGACUUUGUCUUAAGGAUCACUCAAGCGGUCUCUGAUUUUCUGAUAGAUGAACAGGGAGUCAAAAAUCUUAAAAAGAGGAUAUGGAGCUCUUAGAGGCCAUGUUUUAGAGAGAAAAUAUCUUUUAAGUAAUUAAAUUCGUUAAUAGAAAAUUUGAUUUAUAUGUUUAAACUUUUAAUAUUAAAAUAAUUUAAUCUCAUUAUUUAAAACACUUUAUCACCUAUAAGAUAUAUUUUUCUAGGUUCAUACACACUUCAACAAUAUGUUAAAGUUUGAAAAAUUAUUUAAAGGAGUAAUUAAAAAAUAUUUUAAUUGAGUUUGAAAUGUGUUGAUGAGCUUUUGUUCCACCUACAAUGUUUUUAUUUUUUUGUGUUUCAUAUAUUUUAUAUUCUUUAUAGAUGUAUAUUAGAGAGAAGAAUUGAAAAACUUUAGCAAGGAUGUUCAGCUUAAGUGUGAGUGUUAGUCUGAAACACAAACUAGUCAUCAAAAUUUUGAUUAAAAAAUAUGUUAGUUUUGUUGAUCAGAAUGGGCUAUAAAUGAUAAAUGAAAGUAAAGAAUUAAAAAAACAAGAAAAUAAAUAUCAAAUUUAACAAUUGCUCAAGAGAUUUAAAAAAAUUGUAAAAAAGGAAAAUUAAAUAAAAAUUUUCUUUUGAUCAAAAUUCGUCAGAUGCAUUCUAAAAUAUGUGGGUAGUGUUUUCUUUUUCAUGGAUUUCACACAAUUAGAGAUUCAUGCGCAUUAUGCUGGUAGAAAACCAUUUUUACGAAUUUUACUUUUCAUGGGUAAUUUUCAAUGUAUAUUUUUUGUAAAAAAAAUGUCAAAACAUAUCUCAUUGGAUAAUUUUUCAAGGAUUUAUUUUGUAGAAAACGUCACAAUCUUUUUCCUAAUAAAUUCUUACACCUAUUUGCGAAAACAAAAAUUGUGGAAAACAUACAAAUUUAAAAAAAAAAAUCAAAUAACCUGUUGGCUAUGUUCAUCUAAAAGGAUAGAUUUGGAGGGGGAAGAAGUGAUUUUGAGGGGAUUCUCAUAUUAUUUUUUAAAGGAUUUGGAGGUGAAGUUUGUAAAAAUUGAUGUAAAAUGUUAUUGUGAUAGAUAGAAAAAAGUUAAUUGAAAGAGAUUAAAUAUUAUCAAAAUAUCCUAAUUAAUAAUGAAAGUUAUAUAUGAUAAUAGAUGUUAAUAUUAUAUAUAAUUAUAAAAAUUAUUAUAAUGAGAGAAAAAAUAAUUUAUUAUUACUAUUAUUAUUAUAAUUAUAACAAUCUAUAAAAACUACAUCAAAAAACUAUAACAAAAUAUGUAACGUUCCAAAAUAUAUCUACGAAACCAUAUAAUAGUAGUCAUAGAGAUAAUAAAAUAGAACAAUUACGUCCCAACUAGGUGUAGAAUGUACCAAUUCGCUGUGCGAAUCACGAGACAGAGAGCAAUCUUCUCCAAACAUUCGCACAACGCAUUUCUUCGUUGUGUGAAUGCCCUGAUAGAGGGCAUCUCGUCAGGGUGACUCGUUGUACGAAUCCAUUCACUCAACGAGUCUGCAUAAUCUGUAACACCAAAUUCUACAGAAUUAUGCAACUCCAACACCUUUUACCAAUUCUACUAUUUUCCCCAACUUCUAACACUCCUAAAUUGUGUUAUACACCUAAUUAGACUUGACUAAGUGAUUAUAAACCUUCAUAUUAUUGAUUUAAAGUGUUUAUGACCAAAAUCAUAAUUCAAAACCUCUAUAAUCACCACCUAUAGACCCAAAAUCUAAUCUACUAUUUUGAACACAUUUCUCACCAAUUUAGGAACACAAAUACGUCACAUUUGACUUACAAAGACUGCUUCCACAAACCAAUUUGACAUAUAACUUCUACUUCUCCUUUUUAUUACUUCACUUCCUCAAAAUUACUUACUACAAAGCAAAUUAUAACAAUUCAUGAUUAACCAGGCCUCAUCACAUAUUUUUCUUUUUAAACUCCUUCCUAUUAUUGAAACAAAUCCAAUCAGCAUGUAAGCAGUCCACCAACAUAUAUCAAUUCAUACAUUCACACUCGAAAUUCAUCACAUUUCGUCUCCUUUCAUCAAAUUCACAUAAUAUAAAGUAUGAUUUCAACAUAAACAGUUCAACAAUCAUUUUCUGUAAACAUUUACCAGCUAUUCAAACAACAAAUUAGAGAAAAUAAAUGAUGUAAUAGUUUUAUGAUUUCAAGAAGUAAAUAAAAAUUAAAAGUAUGAAAAUUUGAAAACUCUAUAAAUAUAAAGUCGUUAAUUAGCAGUAAGUACGAACGUUAACACAAAUAAAAAUUAAACUAAAGUCAUAGAAUGAAAUUAACUUUUAAAAUAUAAAUAAACUGCAAUUAUACUGAAAUCUUCAUUCUUGUAUUAAUUUUGUUAAUAAGUUUGGUAAUAAUUUUGGUAAAAGUCAUGAAUUAAGUGAUUUUGAAUUUUGGAAAAAUUGGUGCAACUCUUGUAUGACUUUAUCAAAUGUAGAUUGAGUGUAAUUAAUUAAAAUGGAAGUAGUUAUUAACCUAACUACUUUAAUAUUUACAAAGAAAUCAUUAUAUACUUUGCACGAUUUCACAUCCACAUAUUAAAAAUUGUCUAGUAUAAUGAAAAUUUUUUGAUAAGAAAGACAUGUGAAAUAGAGAGAAGUUGUGAAAAAGCAAUCGAAAUGCGUAAGAAAAAUCGAAAAUUUGAAAGAAAGAAAGGCAAAGGGUGGUUGAAAUGAAACAUAUCAUAUAAUACCUAGCGAGAAGCGAGGGGUACAGUGAGGAAGGAAAACAAUGAUUGCAUGUGGAUAUGACAAUGAAGGCAGUGGAAUAAGUUGGAAGGACAGAAAUGAAUGAUGAUGAAGUAGGUCCCAUAACAGAGAUAAUGUGGUAAUUAAUAUUAGAUGAUAAUAAGUUGGGAGAUGUAUUUGAAGAGAAAAUAUGAAAUGAAAGUAGAGUAGAGGGAGCGUGCAGAGGUAUAUGUCAGGCUAGUUAGGUCUUACACUGCUUCACUGACCUCUUCUCGGUGAACUCAAUUGACCACGCAGCAACCCUAACCCCACAUGCUGCACCAUCACCACCACCACCACCAUCUCCCUACUUCCUCCACCUCCACACGACCAUCAUUCCCUCAUGUCAUACUUUAUUCCUUUGCAUCAGGGAAUGUCCACACUUCCCUCUGCUUCUCAUUCUCAACUUAGUACAUAAGCAACUUUUAUAUAUAUAUAUAUAUAUAUAUAUAUAUAUAUAUAUAUAUAUAUAUAUAUAUAUUAUAUAUAUAUAUAUAUAUAUAUAUAUAUCUCAAUAUUUUUUAUAUUCAUCCAUCAAAAUAUUCAUCACUACAAAAUAUCUAUAUGUUAAAAUCAGAUUAGAUAUAAGAUCAAUUUAUAAUUUAUAAUAUAUAUAAGAUGUAAAUUUCAUUUUAUAAACUAGUUUUAAUUGAUUAAGUUAAAUUUAAGAUUUACUUUUUAACACGAUAUCAGAAUUAUAGUUGAAACCUAUCCUAAUGAAAUUUAUAUGGUUGAAUUAGUUCUAAGUGCAUUUUCUGAUACUCUACAUCUAUGUUAAUAUCACUCUUUUGAAUUUUCUUUAUAUAGACUAAAGAAUGUCGGAUCAACAAACUUGUUAAAGUUUAAUUUAUAAUUUAUUCAAAUUAUGAAGAUAAUAUUAUAUCUUAAAAACGUGCUUAUAUCUCAUAUAAAAGUUAUUCUUAACUCUUAAAAUUUAAUCGAGUUAAUUCAAUCUUUAACUCAUGCUUGGAUUAAAAAGGAUUUUAAUUUUUUUUAUAAUUUAUACGUAGAAUUUUCCUUUGAUAUAUAGCCUACUUGUACUUAGUUUAUUUAAAGACAUAUAGGUCAACUUAUAAAAGAUUUAAUAUGAAACAAUCUUUUGAGUAAUUAUAGAGUAAUGAUCGACAAGCUUUAGAAAAAAGGCUAAACCAUAGUAAAAAUAAUAAAAGCAAGCCAUGAUGAAUGAAAUAUAGGGUUUAAUUUAUAUUUUUAAAAUACAAAAAAUCUAUUUCAAGUAAACCUUUAUUCACCUUAACCUAAUUUCGACGUAUAUAAUUUAUCCUAGAUAAAUACUUUGCACUUAAUACAUUUAUGUGAAUAAGUUGAUUUACAUUAGUUUUAAAGUUGAUUGCAAAAGAGAUAUAUAUUCGAUAAGGAGGUUGAUUAUUGUGAAUUUUCCGAGUUCCAAGUCGGGCAGUGAUGAAGAAUUGAUGGUAGAAAAGAAGGAAGUGAUAAAUUUGAAAAGGUGGUGCAUAGCAUUGAGAAAACGACGAGAAUGGUGAGUUAUUUUGUUUAGAAAUGAAUAAAUGAGAGGGGGAGCAGCGUCUUGUCACAACAGCAUGUUACUGUAGGGCAUGGGUUGUCUCUGCCAAAGCCAGUUUCUUUGAAAGCAGACUAAUGUAUGUAUAGAGAGAGACAAGAUAUGGACAAGAGUUGCACACAGACACUAGAGCCAAAGGGGCGUGCUGUAAUCAUUCUCUACAGUUCAAUAUCAUUCACAUUCAAAUUCCUCUUUCUUUUAUUACUGCCAAUCUCUGCAACAUAACUAUCACUCUUUUACCACCAUUUCUAAUAUCAUUUUUAUUUACAUGUGUGUCCAUAAAAUUAUGUAUCACAUUAAUUUAUUCAUAUGUAAAUAAAAAAAUAAAAUAAUUGUAUAUUUAUUAGUUACUAAUAAUUUUAAAAAUAUUAAAAACCAGACGAUAAAAUCAAGAGAACGAAGCAGUAUGGUUCUUAUUAAAAUCCGUUACUACAUAAUGUCACAUCUGAUACUGACGAGGGCGGAGAGUAAUCAUAUGCGAGAGGUACAUAGUAUAGUUCUUGGCAAGUUUUCAGUAGAAAAAAUAUAUGGAUGAAUCAAAUAUACAUCACAAUGAAAGAAAUCUAGAAACUAUAUAAUGAGAGUAUCUAGUUGAAAAAUAAUUUAAAGAAAUUGAUUUGGUUAUUCAUAUCAACAAAAUAUAUUUAUUUUUUGGUAGUCUAAAAAUUUCAUGAUUAAAUGUGUUUAGUGUAGAAUAAUUUAGAGAUAGAUGACCUGAGUAAAAUUAAUUAUGUAUAUGCCAUGGGUUGAUAUUAAAUAUAAGAAUUAGUUGGUAGUUCGAAAAGCAUAAUGGCCACCUAUAAGCUGUGGCAUAAAGAAAUGAUGCAUGUUUGCCACUGCAUGCCCUUUCUACAACUCAUUUAGGGCUUAAACCGGAAAAGGAAAAGGCACGAUCAUUUAAAAUUCAUACAUGUGUAUUUUUUCUGUCAGCCAAAGAUAAAGAGAUAUAAUUUAAGAUUCAUACAUGUUUAAUAUAACAAUUAUAUCAUAUAUAGAACAUACAAUUAUAUUAAUCAUGUUAUUAUUACUACGUUACGUACUCCUUAUGACAUCAUGGCCACGUAACCCUCACGCUAGCAAUACCAUUUCACAUAAAAUUACCUCCUUUUGCCUCUUAUACCUCCUUCCACAAUUAUUUUAACCUUUUCUACAUCAAUUAAAAAUAUUAAAUAGAAAAAACAAACAUUUAAUAUUUUUAAGUAAUUCAAAAUUAAUAUUAUUUCAUAUAAAUUUUAUUUAUUUUAUCAUUGAUUUUCAUUUUAAAAUUGAACGUCUGUUAAAACUUUAAAACUUAUAAUUAAAAGGUAAUCCGAAAAGUCCAAUUCUCUCAGUAUUGUUUGAAAUUUGUCUUAAUUAAUUCUCUCAGUAUUGUUGUUUUCUUUUCCGGAAUUUUUUUCACUAAUUUUACUUAUUUUCAUAAAAGAACAUUAAAGGUACUUUCGAAAUAUAUAUAUAUAUAUAUAUAUAUAUAUAUAUAUAUAUAUAUAUAUAUAUAUAUAUAUAUAUAUGACUUUUACACUUUAAAGUCAUUAUCAUUCCGGAACAUAAGUCAAUGAAAAAAGUUUUUUCUACGUCUUUGAUUUACUUUUAUCAAUAUUAGAUGACUGAUAUUACGUUAUUAGUAUUUUUAUAAAAAUUAUCAAUACAAAAUUAAAGGUUUACAACAACGUACAUAUGAUAGAUAUUAUAACUACUAUGUAAUGGCAUAUAUAUUUAUUUUCUAUAAAAUUUUUAAUCGCAUAUAUACUUAUAGUUUAAUUUUGUACUAUAAAAUUACUAAUAAAAACUGUGACAUCUGGAAAAUAUAGAUAAAAACUAUACUAAGGAGUUAACAUAUAAUAAUAUGAUAGAACAGUUAUAAGAUCUACUAGUACAAAAGCGUUAUUUAACAUCACCCGUAAGACGUUGGUUAAUGGGUGGCUCGACGUAUAUUAAUGGACGAUGGUAUUACCGUAAAUAAGUUGGUAAACAAAACGUCGGUUUCUAGGGCACCCGACAUCUAUAAUAUAGUAGACGUCUGUUCUACCUUAACCAGAGGUCCAAGGGCCUGAGGUAGGUGAGAAGACAGUCUUUUCGACCCCAUUGACGUCGAUUGUGAGGGGGGGUAGACGUCUAUCUGGAUACAAUUAAUGCUCUUCAUCUGAUUCCCAAGCGCUUAGAUGUCAAGUAAUAAAUAACCGACGUCUAUAAUGUAAUAGGCGUCUCUGCUCCUUUAACUUGACGUCAAUGGGCCUGUCAGGAAGGCGGGAAGACAGUCAAUUUCUGCCAUAUAAACAUCUGGUUUCUGGGGCAACGACGUCUAUGUGGCUGUAAUUAAUGCUUCUCACCAAACUCGCAGGCACUUCGACAUCCAGUAGUAGGGGGUCGACGUCUAAAAUGUUAUAGACAUCGGCGCCCCAGGACAAUCGUCGUCUGCUUCCCCGAUCGGAACUGAAAAGUCAUUCCAAUCAGCGCCAUAGACAUCGGCUCCCCUGGUGCCCGACGUCUAAGGUGCAUGCAAAAGGCAGAUUAAAAGUUAUCUUGGACGUCAUAUUAGUGAGAUAACCGACGUCUAGCUGACUAUAGACGUCGGUUUCUAUAGCAACCGAUGCCCUAAUCAUGUUAAAUAAACCGCAGACUCGCAGUUUCGCAAACAUCGUCGUCUUCCUCCUCUCCUUUUUCUCUCUUGCGGCAUUGCAUUCCAGGUGCGUCUUUUUUUAUUUAAACCGUUUAAACUUUGUUCAGUCCGAUUAUAUUAAUUUUUCAUCGACUAUCUUCUGAUUCAAUUGAUUAAAAUUUGUUUUCCUUGUGUUGUGUUUUAGUGCAGUUUUGUUCCUCUCUUGGGGUAAUGUAGUACCACAUUCUGCCUUUGCUAGCUGUCUCCCAGAAAAAGCGGCGUCUUUUGGAUUUCUUAUGGCGUUUCGACCCAAAAACGACUCUGGGUCGUUGCCCUGUUAUCGUUUCACCGUAAUUUUUUCCUCUUGCAGUUGAAAAUGGAACUAGGCAAGAACCCAGGUUCGGUUUUGGGUUGAAAUGUCAUGAGAAAUUCAAAAGACGCAAGCUUUUUUGGGGGAAACUAACAAAGACAGAGUGUGCUACUAGGCUAUCCAAAGACAGGAACAAAACUGCACUAAAACACAACAACUAUGUUAGAGGCCACACAUCAACACGAGGCUUUCCAGUGUGCUUUGUCCUCACUCACACACUUUCCGAGAAAACUUCCCGGAAGGUCACCCAUCCCAUAAUUACUCUAGGCUAAGCACGCUUAACCAUGGAGUUCUUAUGAGUUAGGCUACCNNNNNNNNNNNNNNNNNNNNNNNNNNNNNNNNNNNNNNNNNNNNNNNNNNNNNNNNNNNNNNNNNNNNNNNNNNNNNNNUGUAUAGUCUCAUACCUAUACAAUCUCCAGAUCCCUCUCAUUCCGGUGUAUGUUCGAUUCGUCCAUGUACUCCUUCCACUGGAAGCCUGCCAGGAGUCGCUCCUUGUCUGUGCCCCCUGCACCAUGCCUCUUGCAUCGGCGAUCACUCCCCGCCCUCGUCAGUGCCCGGGUGUCACAUGCCCACCAGCUUCCGCAUGGUUCGUCCUCGAACCACACCGUACUGGGAGAGGCUAGGCUCUGAUACCAUUUGUAACGCCCCAACAACUUACAGGGACUGUUGACUGCCCCCACAAAUCACCACGAGACUUUGCAGGGUGCUUUGUCCUCACUCGCACACUUUCCGAGAAAACUUCCCGGAAGGUCACCCAUCCCAGAAUUACUCCAGGCUAAGCACGCUUAACCAUGAAGCUCUUAAGGGUUAGGCUACCGAAAAGUAAAUGCAUUUUGGUGAUAUGGGUAGCCAAAUCAAUUCCUUUAAGAUAUCCUUCAACUGUAUAGUCCCAUACUUAUACAGUCUCCAGAUCCCUCUCAUUCCGGUGUAUGAUCGAUUCGUCCAUGUGCCCCUUCCACUCGAAGCCUGCCAGGAGCCGCUCCUUGUUUGUGCCCCCUGCACCAUGCCUCUUGCACCGACGAUCACUCCCCGCCCUCGUCAGUGCGCGGUGUCACAUGAAAGAGCUAGGAGCCUUUUUUGUCUUAUGAGGGUUAGAACUUAAGACCAAGCACACAUCCCUCCCAUGCACAGACAACAACCACUAGCAACUUACAGGGACUGUUGACUGCCCCCACAAAUCACCACGAGACUUUCCAGGGUGCUUUGUCCUCACUCGCACACUUUCCGAGAAAACUUCCCGGAUUCCUUUAAGAUAUCCUUCAAUUGUAUAGUCCCAUACCUAUACAGUCUCUAGAUCCCUCUCAUUUCGGUGUAUGAUAGAUUCGUCCAUGUGCCCCUUCCACUCGAAGCCUGCCAGGAGUCGCUCCUUGUUUGUGCCCCCUGCACCAUGCCUCUUGCAACGACGAUCACUCCCCGCCCUCGUCAGUGCCCGGGUGUCACAUGCCCACCAGCUUCUGUCUGGUUCGUCCUCGAACCACACCGUACUAGGAGAGGCUAGGCUCUGAUACCAUUUGUAACGCCCCGACAACUUACAGGGACUGCUGACUGCCCCCACACAUCAACACGAGGCUUUCCAGUGUGCUUUGUCCUCACUCACUCACUUUCCGAGAAAACUUUCCGAAAGGUCACCCAUCCCAUAAUUACUCUAGGCUAAGCACGCUUAACCAUGGAGUUCUUAUGAGUUAGGCUACCAAAAAGCAAAUGCAUUUGUUGAUAUGAGUAGCCAAAUCAAUUCCUUUAAACUAUCCUUCAACUGUAUAGUCCCAUACCUAUACAAUCUCCAGAUCCCUCUCAUUCCGGUGUAUGUUCGAUUUGUCCAUGUACCCCUUCCACUGGAAGCCUGCCAGGAGCCGCUCCUUGUCUGUGCCCCCUGCACCAUGCCUCUUGCACCGACGAUCACUCCCCGCCCUCGUUAGUGCCCGGGUGUCACAUACACUAACGUCUAUAGUGACCUUAGACGUUGGUUAGUGACAUGUUCGAAGUCCUUAUAGUGCUCUUAGACGUCGGUUGGUUCCCACACCGACAUCUAUAUGGUGCUAUUAGACGUCGGAGUAGGCCUUAACCGACGUGUAUUGACGUCGGGCAUGACACUAAUUGAUGUCUAUAUAUACAUCUGUUAUAUAGAAAUUCGACGUCCCAUUAACGUCACCCUAAUAACGGUCUAAAAACCGUUAUUUUCAUACUUAAAUUUGAUAUUAAAACACACCCUUUAUGACUUAGAAUGAGCUUAAAAUCAAAUAAAACACUUAGUUGUGUCUUGUGAGAGUGAAAAGUUGGUUUUAGAGAUAUUAUGCUUGUUUUUACAUUGUUUUGCAGGGUUUUAAGGUGAAUUGAAGAUGGAAGUGAAGUAAGGUGGACUUAGACCCAUGAAAGAAGGAGUAAAAUGAUGAAAAGAAGGGUCAAGUGAGCCGCUGAGCGCCAGAAUGGACCGUUGAGCGUCCAGAGCGAUUAGAGGGAAACCGCUCAACGGCAAAACUAACCGCUGAGCGGCCAACGCAGCUAGAGGGAAACCGCUGAGCGGUGAACUUAGGCACCUGGGCGGUUGUCUGUUUUUAUUAGCUAGAUUCUAUAAUCUUUCUGUUAUCUUUUUGGGCUUAUAUAUAGCCCCAGUGUGAAUCAAAACUCAUUCUUUUGGCAGAGAGAAACGUCCAGAGCUAUGUCACACACCUUAGAGGAGGUUCCUUGGAUGCUUAGGCUCCAAUCUACCAAGUUUAGGGUUAUUCUUU
Molecule: long non-coding RNA, 17168 nt
Filed under: Vigna radiata
Lineage: Eukaryota; Viridiplantae; Streptophyta; Magnoliopsida; Fabales; Fabaceae
Description: long non-coding RNA (VRAD_LNC016888)
Source: RNAcentral